GUGCCUGCUUCAGCUGCACAUGUAUCAAACCUGGAACAAUGCAGAGACGAUGAGCAUGGCCCCUGCUCAAGCACGACAGGCAAAUUUGUCAAGUGUUCCGUAUUUUU
RNAcentral lists this small nuclear RNA (107 nucleotides) under Catagonus wagneri (Chacoan peccary). The record is from RNAcentral. Lineage: Eukaryota; Metazoa; Chordata; Mammalia; Artiodactyla; Tayassuidae.